GAUGUGGAGGGGGUUAGGCAGCAUUAAACAAACACAGGGAGAGGGAGAGAUUAAGUUCAAUCACUGUGGUUCAGUCGUGGUCCAUUUCCACAGGCCCCACACAGGACUAGGGAGGGGGUAUGGGAGACAGUGGGCCUCAAGCUGAGGCUGAAUCUUGGGUUCCUCACGGAUAAGCUGUGUGAUCUUGGGCAAGUCACUUGGCCUCUCUGAGUUUUUGUUUGGAAAAAGAUUUAAGGUGACUUGCAAACAGAGGUAACGCCCAGAAAAACAUCUCAAGGAAAUGACCGAGGAAAUGGGGGAGAACAAGCCGAUACCGGUGAGUAAAGCCACAGAGGCUGUGCUCGGAGGCUCCACACACUUGCUAGGAGGUCCUCCAGCAAUCUGAGUCUCAGUCCAGCAGCCAAUAAAAAGAACUAAAUGCAUCUAGUUUCAGAUUCUCAGGACUCACAAAAUCGGGCAAGGUGCUACUGGAUUCAAGGAGAGAAAGGUCUCCACGGGUCUUCUUAGAGAGGACGUGGGCACUGGGGAAGCCUGUUCUGAAGUAUUUAUUCAAGAGCAUCUUUCAAAAAGUGGCCAACACCUGCCAACCAAUGUGUCAUGGCCGCAUGCCGUCGCAGCUGCUGGGGCAGUGUCAUCAACGGCCUUAACAAAAUCUACGGAGUCCGCACGGCAGGGCGCUGGAAGGAGCCAUUUUAAAACGAAACGCUCCGCAAUGUAGAAGACCCACACAGCCUCUAGGAGGAAGGGGACCAUUCACUGGUCGUGGAGGCUCCCACACAGGCUGGGACCCAAAUGCAGCUUAGAAACUCAUGGAUUCUUACGAUUUCAUUGCUCUUCACCUCACCCCAUGUCACCGGUGAAGACAGCCUGGUACAAGAUACAAGAUUAGCAUUGGAAGGCAUACCAUUCCAGGUGGUGCUGGAGUUUGAAAGAAGUGUGUCGAAAGCGGAGUCGUAAGCUGAUAGAUGAUCUAGCACAGUUUGCUUUGCUAGAAGCCACCAUCUGGGGGGAAGCCUGCUUUCUGUGGUGGAGACAAGCUCCUUAUCUCAUCAAGGUGUGACUUUCAACACGUGUGUCUGUUGGGUUGUUUAUCCUUUCCUAGCACGCUUUUUAGAACUCUGUACAUUGCAGAUUUCAACACUUUAUUGGCCGUGUUGGUGACAGUGUUUUUCCCCAAACAAUUAUUUUUACAUUGAGCUUGCAAUGGCCUAUUCUGAAAAAAUUUGAAAAAUUUAUGUCAUCAGACGUGUUUAUCUUUCUUUGAUAGCUUCUGAAUUCCUGGGCCAUUAUGGCUAGUCUAAGGCAAAGCUAUUGAUUUUUGUGUGUUCCAGAAGUUUCUUUUUCUUGGGUUUUCUAGGUGUCUGGACAUGCAAAGUUUUACCGAUGUUUUUUCUUGUUGUAUUCAUCAUUUUUGUUAGACCCUCUAAUAUAACAUUAAAUUAUAAUGAUGGUGGCAGGCUUCUAUAUUUGGUUUCUGAACCUCAUUGGUUUAGUUUUAAUAUUUUACCAUUUGGGGGGAUAUUUUUUGAGGAUUUUUGGUAACAGAUUUCAUCACAAAUAGUUCCAUGAUUUCCCUUACUUUGGAACUAACUGCUGCACUUUUAUCAAAUAAUUCCUCAAUUAUUGCAAUCAUUUGGGUAUUGUUCUUUAAUUUUUUUAAAGUUUUUACUUAUUUAUUCCUUUAAGCAAUCUCUACACCCAGUGUAGAGCUUGAACUCACAACCCCGUGAUCCAGAGUCACGUGUUCUCCCCGCUAAGCCAGCCAGGUGCCCCUGGUUUCUGUUCUUUAAUUUGUCAAUCAAACGUAUUAGGAGAAUGGAGCUUCUAAUUUGUACCACCUUUGCGUGUUUACGUAAUAUCACGUGACCAUAGAUUAUUACUCUUCUGAUGCACUGCUGAAUUUUAUUCAGUCAUGUUAGGGUUUUUACGAACUUACAUAAGUAAGAUCCAC
RNAcentral lists this long non-coding RNA (1951 nucleotides) under Ursus thibetanus thibetanus. RNAcentral describes it as "lncRNA (ENSUTTG00000011756.1)". Lineage: Eukaryota; Metazoa; Chordata; Mammalia; Carnivora; Ursidae. The record is from RNAcentral.